ACCCUCCAUCUCAUAACUGAAUUUCUCAAUCCAAAGGCUCAGAUUACUCCUCGUUCAACUUCUUCUCAAACUUCAACAAUCUAUAUAAACCUCCAAGCUGUUUUAUCAAAGCUCCAACAAAAACAACAAAAAUGGAAAAAAGAGAGGGAGGAUAUCAUUAUUCAAAUUCACGAUUUCAGAGAAGAAAAUAAACAGAAAUCCUGGCGUUCUUUCUCACAAUACAAUUAUACAGACAAAAAGAAAAUCACAGGGGAAACUCACCAAAAAUAUUUCUUUAAAAUCUCGAUUCUCUCUCUGAACUCUUCCACCACCUUCAUCCUCAACCUUCUCACACAUAUACCUUCUUCUCCUCAUCUCUCAACCCUCUCUAUCUCGGUGCUUCAUUUCAACACAUCACCUUCACCUCACGAAACCUCACUACUCACUAAGCCUUCUCUGAAAUUCCUUCAUAACCGAAUUUCAUCAUCUUCGUCAUUGGUCCUUUAG
This is a non-coding RNA of Vicia faba (fava bean), 486 nucleotides long. The record is from the annotation of a GenBank genome assembly. NCBI's taxonomy places the organism in Eukaryota, Viridiplantae, Streptophyta, Magnoliopsida, Fabales, Fabaceae.